CUGAGACACGGUCCAGACUCCUACGGGAGGCAGCAGUAGGGAAUAUUGCGCAAUGGGGGAAACCCUGACGCAGCAACGCCGCGUGGAGGAUGACACUUUUCGGAGCGUAAACUCCUUUUCUUAGGGAAGAAUUCUGACGGUACCUAAGGAAUAAGCACCGGCUAACUCCGUGCCAGCAGCCGCGGUAAUACGGAGGGUGCAAGCGUUACUCGGAAUCACUGGGCGUAAAGGGCGCGUAGGCGGAUUAUCAAGUCUCUUGUGAAAUCUAAUGGCUUAACCAUUAAACUGCUUGGGAAACUGAUAGUCUAGAGUGAGGGAGAGGCAGAUGGAAUUGGUGGUGUAGGGGUAAAAUCCGUAGAUAUCACCAAGAAUACCCAUUGCGAAGGCGAUCUGCUGGAACUCAACUGACGCUAAGGCGCGAAAGCGUGGGGAGCAAACAGGAUUAGAUACCCUGGUAGUCCACGCCCUAAACGAUGUACACUAGUUGUUGGGGUGCUAGUCAUCUCAGUAAUGCAGCUAACGCAUUAAGUGUACCGCCUGGGGAGUACGGUCGCAAGAUUAAAACUCAAAGGAAUAGACGGGGACCCGCACAAGCGGUGGAGCAUGUGGUUUAAUUCGAAGAUACGCGAAGAACCUUACCUGGGCUUGAUAUCCUAAGAACCUUUUAGAGAUAAGAGGGUGCUAGCUUGCUAGAACUUAGAGACAGGUGCUGCACGGCUGUCGUCAGCUCGUGUCGUGAGAUGUUGGGUUAAGUCCCGCAACGAGCGCAACCCACGUAUUUAGUUGCUAACGGUUCGGCCGAGCACUCUAAAUAGACUGCCUUCGUAAGGAGGAGGAAGGUGUGGACGACGUCAAGUCAUCAUGGCCCUUAUGCCCAGGGCGACACACGUGCUACAAUGGCAUAUACAAUGAGACGCAAUACCGCGAGGUGGAGCAAAUCUAUAAAAUAUGUCCCAGUUCGGAUUGUUCUCUGCAACUCGAGAGCAUGAAGCCGGAAUCGCUAGUAAUCGUAGAUCAGCCAUGCUACGGUGAAUACGUUCCCGGGUCUUGUACUCACCGCCCGUCACACCAUGGGAGUUGAUUUCACUCGAAGCCGGAAUACUAAACUAGUUACCGUCCACAGUGGAAUCAGCGACUGGGGUGAAGUCGUAACAAGGUAACCGUAGGAGAACCUGCGGUUGGAUCACCUCCUUUCUA
RNAcentral lists this ribosomal RNA (1197 nucleotides) under Campylobacter jejuni. Its description in RNAcentral is "bacterial SSU rRNA". It matches the Rfam family "Bacterial small subunit ribosomal RNA", at positions 319 to 1533 of the family's 1533-position model. The record is from RNAcentral. Lineage: Bacteria; Pseudomonadati; Campylobacterota; Epsilonproteobacteria; Campylobacterales; Campylobacteraceae.